RNAcentral lists this ribosomal RNA (443 nucleotides) under uncultured bacterium. RNAcentral's name for it is "partial 16S ribosomal RNA". It matches the Rfam family "Bacterial small subunit ribosomal RNA", at positions 338 to 795 of the family's 1533-position model. The record is from RNAcentral.
CCUACGGGAGGCAGCAGUGGGGAAUAUUGGGCAAUGGGCGCAAGCCUGACCCAGCAACGCCGCGUGAAGGAAGAAGGCUUUCGGGUUGUAAACUUCUUUUGUCAGGGACGAAGCAAGUGACGGUACCUGACGAAUAAGCCACGGCUAACUACGUGCCAGCAGCAGCGGUAAUACGUAGGUGGCAAGCGUUAUCCGGAUUGAUUGGGGGUAAAGGGCGUGUAGGCGGGAAUGCAAGUCAGGUGUGAAAACUAUGGGCUCAACCCAUAGCCUGCAUUUGAACAUGUAUUUCUUGAGUGCUGGAGAGGUAAUCGGAAUUCCGUGUGUAGCGGUGAAAUGCGUAGAUAUACGGAGGAACACCAGUGGCGAAGGCGGAUUGCUGGACAGUAACUGACGCUGAGGCGCGAAAGCGUGGGGAGCAAACAGGAUUAGAUACCCGAGUAGUC